RNAcentral lists this ribosomal RNA (305 nucleotides) under uncultured bacterium. RNAcentral describes it as "bacterial SSU rRNA". It matches the Rfam family "Bacterial small subunit ribosomal RNA", at positions 334 to 637 of the family's 1533-position model. The record is from RNAcentral.
UGGUCCUACGGGGCGCAGCAGUGAGGAAUAUUGGUCAAUGGGCGGGAGCCUGAACCAGCCAAGUCGCGUGAGGGACGACGGUCCUAUGGAUUGUAAACCUCUUUUGUCGGGGAACAAAGGCGCCCACGGGUGGGCGGAUGAGUGUACCCGAAGAAAAAGCAUCGGCUAACUCCGUGCCAGCAGCCGCGGUAAUACGGAGGGUGCGAGCGUUACCCGGAUUUAUUGGGUUGAAAGGGUGCGUAGGCGGACGGUCAAGUCAGCGGUAAAAAUGCGGUGCUCAACGCCGUACAGCCGAUGACACUGGG